UAGGGAAUCUUGCGCAAUGGGCGAAAGCCUGACGCAGCCAUGCCGCGUGAAUGAUGAAGGUCUUAGGAUUGUAAAAUUCUUUCACCGGGGAAGAUAAUGACGGUACCCGGAGAAGAAGCCCCGGCUAACUUCGUGCCAGCAGCCGCGGUAAUACGAAGGGGGCUAGCGUUGCUCGGAAUUACUGGGCGUAAAGGGCGCGUAGGCGGAUAUUUAAGUUGGGGGUGAAAGCCCGGGGGCUCAACCUCGGAAUAGCCUUCAAUACUGGAUAUCUUGAGUUCGGGAGAGGUGAGUGGAAUGCCGAGUGUAGAGGUGAAAUUCGUAGAUAUUCGGCGGAACACCAGUGGCGAAGGCGACUCACUGGCCCGAUACUGACGCUGAGGCGCGAAAGCGUGGGGAGCAAACAGGAUUAGAUACCCUGGUAGUCCACGCCGUAAACGAUGAGUGCUAGUUGUCGGCAUGCAUGCAUGUCGGUGACGCAGCUAACGCAUUAAGCACUCCGCCUGGGGAGUACGGUCGCAAGAUUAAAACUCAAAGGAAUUGACGGGGGUCAUAGCUG
This 556-nucleotide ribosomal RNA is filed under the name uncultured bacterium. RNAcentral describes it as "partial 16S ribosomal RNA". It matches the Rfam family "Bacterial small subunit ribosomal RNA", at positions 355 to 928 of the family's 1533-position model. The record is from RNAcentral.